GCGUAUGCAACCUACCUUAUACAGGGGAAUAGCCCGAAGAAAUUCGGAUUAAUGCUCCAUGGUUUAUCGAUAUGGCAUCGUAUUGAUAAUAAAGAUUUAUCGGUAUAAGAUGGGCAUGCGUAUCAUUAGCUAGUUGGUGUGGUAACGGCAUACCAAGGCAACGAUGAUUAGGGGUCCUGAGAGGGAGAUCCCCCACACUGGUACUGAGACACGGACCAGACUCCUACGGGAGGCAGCAGUGAGGAAUAUUGGUCAAUGGAGGCAACUCUGAACCAGCCAUGCCGCGUGCAGGAUGACGGUCCUAUGGAUUGUAAACUGCUUUUGUACAGGAAGAAACCUCCCUACGAGUAGGGACUUGACGGUACUGUAAGAAUAAGGAUCGGCUAACUCCGUGCCAGCAGCCGCGGUAAUACGGAGGAUCCGAGCGUUAUCCGGAAUUAUUGGGUUUAAAGGGUUCGUAGGCGGCUUUGUAAGUCAGUGGUGAAAUUUCCUAGCUUAACUAGGACACUGCCAUUGAUACUGCAGAGCUUGAAUAGUAUGGAAGUAACUAGAAUAUGUAGUGUAGCGGUGAAAUGCUUAGAUAUUACAUGGAAUACCAAUUGCGAAGGCAGGUUACUACGUAUUUAUUGACGCUGAUGAACGAAAGCGUGGGGAGCGAACAGGAUUAGAUACCCUGGUAGUCCACGCCGUAAACGAUGGAUACUAGCUGUUCGGUUUUCGGACUGAGUGGCUAAGCGAAAGUGAUAAGUAUCCCACCUGGGGAGUACGUUCGCAAGAAUGAAACUCAAAGGAAUUGACGGGGGCCCGCACAAGCGGUGGAGCAUGUGGUUUAAUUCGAUGAUACGCGAGGAACCUUACCAGGGCUUAAAUGUAGAUUGACAGAUUUGGAAACAGAUUUUUCUUCGGACAAUUACAAGGUGCUGCAUGGUUGUCGUCAGCUCGUGCCGUGAGGUGUCAGGUUAAGUCCUAUAACGAGCGCAACCCCUAUUGUUAGUUACCAGCGCGUAAUGGCGGGGACUCUAGCAGAAUGCCGGUGCAAACCGUGAGGAAGGUGGGAUGA
Molecule: ribosomal RNA, 1060 nt
Filed under: Myroides odoratimimus
Lineage: Bacteria; Pseudomonadati; Bacteroidota; Flavobacteriia; Flavobacteriales; Flavobacteriaceae
Description: bacterial SSU rRNA
Rfam family: Bacterial small subunit ribosomal RNA
Source: RNAcentral